RNAcentral lists this ribosomal RNA (253 nucleotides) under uncultured bacterium. RNAcentral's name for it is "partial 16S ribosomal RNA". It matches the Rfam family "Bacterial small subunit ribosomal RNA", at positions 524 to 776 of the family's 1533-position model. The record is from RNAcentral.
UACAGAGGUCUCAAGCGUUGUUCGGAUUCAUUGGGCGUAAAGGGUGCGUAGGUGGCGUGGUAAGUCGGGUGUGAAAUUUCGGAGCUUAACUCCGAAACUGCAUUCGAUACUGCGGUGCUUGAGGACUGGAGAGGAGACUGGAAUUCAUGGUGUAGCAGUGAAAUGCGUAGAGAUCAUGAGGAAGACCAGUGGCGAAGGCGGGUCUCUGGACAGUUCCUGACACUGAGACACGAAGGCCAGGGGAGCAAACGGG